AUGAGAUGUGUCUUAAGAGGAACCCGCCUGAGGGCGGGCUUGCUUCUACAGACGGUCUUACCGGGCGGAACACGGACAGUCACCAGCAGUGGGGCUGCUGGAGUGUCCUCAGUGGGCUGUGGUCAGUGGAGUGUGGCUGGUAGGUGCACCUCCUGUGGCUCCCAGAGGGGAGGAAAAUGGAGCGAGACCCCCAGACAGAGGCAGACGGGCCGAGCUCGAGGGCGACGCGUGAGGGGCCAGUGCGCCCUUUCCUUCGGGUUAGGGAGGUUUUUCUUUUCAGCAGAGGAGCAGUUGUGGUCAGGCUGCCAGUCAGACUUCUGUGUCCCGGGACAGCAGAAGACUCAGGCCCUCGGAAGUUUGAUUCUGCACAAGAGCAGACCCGGCCAUGAGGACAGGAGCAGGGGUCAACUUCCCCGAAGAGUCUGGGUGAGCUGUUUACCCCAGGCAGGCGGGGAAGCCUUGCCUCUCUCGUGGUGUCUGGCGCUUAGGCAGGAGGAUCCUGAGAUGCCUUCCCCACACGUCUGGCCGGCAGUGAUGGCUGCGGGCCUGGGCCCAGCGGGGCGAUUGGCAGGUCACGCGCACGCGGGCUCCCGCGGCCUGCACACGGCGGCCGGGUCUGCGUGUGAGCACGUGAGGCGGUGGAAGACCCCGGGCUCUGAUGACCCCGCCCCGGAGGUCGUGCAGUGUGAGCCCUGCGGCUUCCUCUUGGUCCCCUCGCAGCUGCGGCUCCCUGCUGUCCCGAGUCCCGAAGCCUGGUCACACGUGGGGCUGCCCCGCUCGGGGGCGCGUCGACGCAGCCGUGCCAGGGAUUGUGCAGUGCAUGACACGCACCGCCGUCUGGGCGGCCCUGCCCUAUGCUCCCUCCUGCCCCCUUCCCCCUGA
This 882-nucleotide long non-coding RNA is filed under the name Bos indicus x Bos taurus (hybrid cattle). RNAcentral describes it as "lncRNA (ENSBIXG00005016772.1)". Lineage: Eukaryota; Metazoa; Chordata; Mammalia; Artiodactyla; Bovidae. The record is from RNAcentral.